Molecule: ribosomal RNA, 253 nt
Filed under: uncultured bacterium
Lineage: Bacteria
Description: partial 16S ribosomal RNA
Rfam family: Bacterial small subunit ribosomal RNA
Source: RNAcentral
UACGGGGGGGGCAAGCGUUGUUCGGAAUUACUGGGCGUAAAGGGCUCGUAGGCGGCCAACUAAGUCGGAUGUGAAAUCCCCAGGCUUAACCUGGGAACUGCAUCCGAUACUGGAUGGCUUGAAUCCGGGAGAGGGAUGCAGAAUUCCAGGUGUAGCGGUGAAAUGCGUAGAUAUCUGGAGGAAUACCCGUGGCGAAGGCGGCUCUCUGGGACGGUACUGACGCUGAGGAGCGAAAGCGUGGGGAGCGAACAGG